UGAGGAAUAUUGGUCAAUGGACGGAAGUCUGAACCAGCCAAGUAGCGUGCAGGACGACGGCCCUAUGGGUUGUAAACUGCUUUUGUAUGGGGAUAAAGUCAAUCACGUGUGAUUGUUUGCAGGUACCAUACGAAUAAGGACCGGCUAAUUCCGUGCCAGCAGCCGCGGUAAUACGGAAGGUCCAGGCGUUAUCCGGAUUUAUUGGGUUUAAAGGGAGCGUAGGCUGGAGAUUAAGUGUGUUGUGAAAUGUAGACGCUCAACGUCUGAAUUGCAGCGCAUACUGGUUUCCUUGAGUACGCACAACGUUGGCGGAAUUCGUCGUGUAGCGGUGAAAUGCUUAGAUAUGACGAAGAACUCCGAUUGCGAAGGCAGCUGACGGGAGCGCAACUGACGCUUAAGCUCGAAGGUGCGGGUAUCAAACAGGAUUAGAUACCCUGGUAGUCCGCACAGUAAACGAUGGAUGCCCGCUGUUGGUACCUGGUAUCAGCGGCUAAGCGAAAGCAUUAAGCAUCCCACCUGGGGAGUACGCCGGCAACGGU
This 539-nucleotide ribosomal RNA is filed under the name uncultured bacterium. Its description in RNAcentral is "bacterial SSU rRNA". It matches the Rfam family "Bacterial small subunit ribosomal RNA", at positions 355 to 895 of the family's 1533-position model. The record is from RNAcentral.